This 598-nucleotide small RNA is filed under the name Pseudozyma sp. 1 MS-2015. RNAcentral describes it as "eukaryotic LSU rRNA". The stretch from base 149 to 303 matches the Rfam family "5.8S ribosomal RNA". Lineage: Eukaryota; Fungi; Basidiomycota; Ustilaginomycetes; Ustilaginales; Ustilaginaceae. The record is from RNAcentral.
AACAGUGCGCGCGCGAAAUUUAUUUUUCGCUGCACUGAGCAGACGGGUCGGCACUUUACACAAACACUUUUGAUAAUCUAGGAUUUGAAUGAAAGGUCAUUUUUAUGAUGGAUCCGACUGGUAAUGCGGUCGUCUAAAUCUAAAAAACAACUUUUGGCAACGGAUCUCUUGGUUCUCCCAUCGAUGAAGAACGCAGCGAAAUGCGAUAAGUAAUGUGAAUUGCAGAAGUGAAUCAUCGAAUCUUUGAACGCACCUUGCGCUCCCGGGAGAUCUAAUCUGGGGAGCAUGCCUGUUUGAGGGCCGCGAAUUGUUUCAAACGACAGCUUUUUUCAGUAAGAGCUGGCGGAUCGGUAUUGAGGGUCUUUGCCAUUUACCGUGGCUCCCUCGAAAUGCAUUAGCGCAUCCAUUUGAUAGGCGAAAGACGGACGAAAGCUCGAUUUUUCGCCCUCUCUUCCCUGCCGGGUUUUGAUAAUAUCAGGACUUCGGAGGCGGAGAAAGGGUUAGAGCUGGACGCAACGACUUUUGCUGGUUGGAGUGCUUCUGAACCCCGCCCUUCUUUUUAGAAGAAGGGAUAUUUUCAAUUCAUCGGCCUCAGAUU